UAGGGAGACCUAAUCCAUUUAGAAAUCGAAAACAAUGAAAAUUGUCAAUAGAAACUAAAUUGGUCUAACCUAGGUCGUUCGAGAUUGGUAGACAUCUUUCAAGGUAUUAUUCGGCUUCGUUCAAAACCAUAUAUAAUAAAUGGAAAAAGACAGCACCUAAUUGUCAAAGUUAGACUGCUGGAUGAAAUUCCAGCCAGAACCUUGAAAACUGCAUAAGAGAACAAGAAAAAGCAGGCAGACACAGACAUUUAGAUGGAUGUGAAAGCAAAAGAAAUUGU
Molecule: unclassified non-coding RNA, 278 nt
Filed under: uncultured Anabaena sp.
Lineage: Bacteria; Bacillati; Cyanobacteriota; Cyanophyceae; Nostocales; Nostocaceae
Description: partial 16S-23S ribosomal RNA intergenic spacer
Source: RNAcentral